UGGUAAUGCCGGAUGCUCCGGUUGGAUGCAUGUCCUUCCGGGAAAGAUUCUAUCGGUAUGGGAUGGGGUCGCGUCCUAUCAGCUUGAUGGCGGGGUAACGGCCCACCAUGGCUUCGACGGGUAGCCGGCCUGAGAGGGCGACCGGCCACAUUGGGACUGAGAUACGGCCCAGACUCCUACGGGAGGCAGCAGUGGGGAAUAUUGCACAAUGGGCGCAAGCCUGAUGCAGCGACGCCGCGUGCGGGAUGGAGGCCUUCGGGUUGUAAACCGCUUUUGAUCGGGAGCAAGCCCUUCGGGGUGAGUGUACCUUUCGAAUAAGCACCGGCUAACUACGUGCCAGCAGCCGCGGUAAUACGUAGGGUGCAAGCGUUAUCCGGAAUUAUUGGGCGUAAAGGGCUCGUAGGCGGUUCGUCGCGUCCGGUGUGAAAGCCCAUCGCUUAACGGUGGGUCUGCGCCGGGUACGGGCGGGCUGGAGUGCGGUAGGGGAGA
RNAcentral lists this ribosomal RNA (489 nucleotides) under Bifidobacterium dentium. Its description in RNAcentral is "bacterial SSU rRNA". It matches the Rfam family "Bacterial small subunit ribosomal RNA", at positions 161 to 660 of the family's 1533-position model. Lineage: Bacteria; Bacillati; Actinomycetota; Actinomycetes; Bifidobacteriales; Bifidobacteriaceae. The record is from RNAcentral.